RNAcentral lists this ribosomal RNA (167 nucleotides) under uncultured bacterium. Its description in RNAcentral is "partial 16S ribosomal RNA". It matches the Rfam family "Bacterial small subunit ribosomal RNA", at positions 352 to 511 of the family's 1533-position model. The record is from RNAcentral.
CAGUAGGGAAUCCUCCACAAUGGGCGCAAGCCUGAUGGAGCAACACCGCGUGAGUGAAGAAGGGUUUCGGCUCGUAAAGCUCUGUUGUUAAAGAAGAACAUAUCUGAGAGUAACUGUUCAGGUAUUGACGGUAUUUAACCAGAAAGCCACGGCUAACUACGUGCCAG